AUGGACUCCGUCCUUGAGAUCCAGAGUCAAGCGAAGCAGCAACUUCAGCGUGCAGCAAUGGCAGCCGCACCGGCUGAAGUUCUCCCGCCUUGUAAGAGGCAAAAGAAGAACCCCAGUUGUCUGGGAACCUCCGCCGUCCUUCCGGCCACGGCGACUGCCGACUGGUUCGCGCUCCAGCUCGACAUAGUCCGCCGCAUCGCCGACUCCUUCCUCGCCACCAAUGACAUUGACUGCUACAUGGACUUCCGCGCCGUCUGCCACAGCUGGCGUUCCGCCACCGACGACCCCAAGGACAACAUUUUGGACUACCGGUUCCUUCCGCGCCGAUGGAUCAUCCUUGACGAGGUCUUUCAGAGUGGGACUCACCGCCUCUUGGUAAACACCGCCACCGGCCGAAUCCUUCACAGGGAGCUCCCGCUGCUCUCCGACUACUAUAUCGUCACCACCACUCUCGACGGCUUCUUCGUCCUGGCCGAUAGGGGCCCCCCUCAUGCUGCUCGUGUCUUCAACCCUCUCACUGGUGGCGUCAUCCCUUUCACCGUGCCCGUGCCGCCUGAGAUAUACACAGCCAGUCCUCACAGUAUCCGCACCGAAGACUUUGAGAUUUCACUCUAUGGUCUGUUUCGGAGGGCGGUCGAAGGUGAUUUGGCCGGCCUUUGGUGGCUACCAGCCGGAAGCUUGGAAUCAGCCGAAACAGCUGCUGUGAAUGCGAUUGGCAAGAUCUGCGAUGUGAUGAAGUCGCUCCAUGUUGACCCGUUGAAGUUCUUUUCUGGUGAUCCUCCUGAUAUGGGGCUUGCAGACGACACCAAGUGUUUCCUAAUGGAUUUUGGUGGACAACUGCUGGCCACCAUCAAGGGACAACUCGUCCAGAUUUUCAGGUACGAAGCCAAGAAUGGCGUGCUUUUGCAUUUGAAGAGCAUCGGCAACCAUGCCAUCUUCCUUGGUCAUCAUAGGUGCAUAGCUGUGGAUACUGAUAUGUUCCCAUUGAUCGAGGCAAACUGUGUUUACUACACUGAACAACUGGGUUUGUAUGCUCGUAUCCGGAAAUGCAACAUCAAGGACGAGAAAGUAGAGAGCAUCUCGGAAGCCGUUGAUUUUGUGAAGCAGGACAAGCAGUUUGUCCUCGUCGGCGACCGUCCUUUUACAAUCAUCCAGCUUCUGUCAAGCUACACCAUCAACAUCCGGGAUUCUGAACUGGCCUUACAUCAGAUCACAUGA
Molecule: ribosomal RNA, 1218 nt
Filed under: Triticum aestivum (bread wheat)
Lineage: Eukaryota; Viridiplantae; Streptophyta; Magnoliopsida; Poales; Poaceae
Description: partial small subunit ribosomal RNA
Source: RNAcentral